AAGACAAUUCAGUAGCUUUCACUCAUCCAAUACAUUGUCAUACAAACCACCCUAUAUCUUUUGCUAGGGGACAAACCACCCUACGUCGAAGUUUAGUAACAUAUAGAACUUUUAUGUUUAGCAUGAUGGCAUUGAAAGUCCCCAUGUUCUCGUCAUGGAUGAUUCCCAUGUUGAUGGCCUUGUUGCAUCGAGAGUCCUAAGAUAUUUCUCAUUCAAGGUGCUUGCAUGGGGGAGAUGAGGACUACAUCAUUAAGCCUCUAAGGAUUGCUCAUGUACCUUGUAUUUUAAGCUACAUUCAAUGAUCUAUAGGGAUAAAAUAGAUAAAGAUGGAAUUCAGUGCAACACCCCAACUCAUCAACAGUCCUGCUUGGUGUUAUAUGCUCUCUAUUAAACUUGAUUAGUUGUGAUCAUGUAUGGUCUUUGUUAUGUCAUUAGUUGUAUUAGAUCCAUUGUAACCAGUAUAAGACAAUUUUUGAGCCUAUGAGGGAACAGUAUUGCUUUGGCUUAUUUGUUUCGCUUGAAAUA
Molecule: long non-coding RNA, 525 nt
Organism: Aegilops tauschii subsp. strangulata
Lineage: Eukaryota; Viridiplantae; Streptophyta; Magnoliopsida; Poales; Poaceae
Source: RefSeq, a predicted model, not a curated record